UACGUAGGGUGCAAGCGUUGUCCGGAAUUAUUGGGCGUAAAGAGCUCGUAGGCGGUCCGUCACGUCGGCUGUGAAAACCCGGGGCUCAACCCCGGGCCUGCAGUCGAUACGGGCGGACUAGAGUUCGGAAGGGGCAACUGGAAUUCUCGGUGUAGCGGUGAAAUGCGUAGAUAUCGAGAGGAACACCUGCGGCGAAGGCGGGUUGCUGGGCCGACACUGACGCUGAUGCGCGAAAGCCAGGGGAGCGAACGGG
RNAcentral lists this ribosomal RNA (253 nucleotides) under uncultured bacterium. RNAcentral describes it as "partial 16S ribosomal RNA". It matches the Rfam family "Bacterial small subunit ribosomal RNA", at positions 524 to 776 of the family's 1533-position model. The record is from RNAcentral.